Long non-coding RNA from Falco peregrinus (peregrine falcon), 10053 nucleotides. RefSeq lists it as uncharacterized. The record is from RefSeq and is a predicted model, not a curated record. The transcript is spliced from 2 exons. Lineage: Eukaryota; Metazoa; Chordata; Aves; Falconiformes; Falconidae.
UGUCCUUUUUGACAGAGGGUGUCUAGAUAUCUCUUGAGCCAACAGAAAUAGAAAAUAAACCGCUUUCCCCUCUCUCCUAACAACGUGCCCUUUUUACAGUCAGGGCCUUGACAGGCUGUCACUCGGUUUCCACUCCCCGCCAGGAAUGUCCUUGAAUGGCCCGAGAGAAGCCAGAAAAUUGUUGCUAAGUAUUUUUUCAUUCACCUCUAGAAUUUUCCACAUUUUCUCCAACAUGUGUGAAGCCACUGGGAAAUAUGGUUAAAUGAGUUAAGCAGACAUCACCCAUCUGUGCAUCUCAGGGAAAAUAAAAACAGUGCUCUCCCUCUGAAAGCUUUCUUGGUACAUAACCAAAAUCAGAACAACCACCACACUCGAAAGCUAAACCUAGGGAAGGCUCCUGCAGGAGAUAAGGGAGCAGCACUCUGAAGAAACUGCUUCUUCUGGCUUACCCUGGUGCUGCUGGUGCGUGGCCUUGGCAGAACCAAGGUGGUCCUAGCACCUCUGCUCCUCCAAAAUGCCUAAAGGCCACCGGACACGGGAGAAAACACGGCUGCACAGCUUAUCUGCUUCAGACAGUAUCAAAAGCCUGGCAUUGAGCCUCAGCUCUGAAUUCUAGUCCCCUCACCAACCAAAUGAUCACUUUGCAGCCUCUUCCUUGUUUGUGUAAAUGUUUGGUAAUUCUAGAUAGAAGGCAUCGCAAGAACCCUACUUUUGCUCAAGUUUUGAUUCACCCUUUCAUAUUUGUUUACGCCACUCUUUCUACUGCUCCAAGGAUUUGUAAUUUGUAUCUCUCAAACAGUUCCCACUUGGAUUUCUCAUGCACUGAAAACUCAGAUGCCUGACAUUACUGUGUAAAGUUAAGUGCUUGGGGUUAAUGAAUGGCAUUAAAUUUUAUGAGGUCAUGUCCAGUAGAUGUUAAAAGAAGCUUAAGGGAACUUUAUCACUGAUAGAAAUUAACAGUUGGCAUGAUAGAAUGCCUGAGGGAGUUCAGUUCUAAGCAAAAAUAAAAUUGCUGGUAUAAAAACUAAAAUAUAGAGUCAUUGUGAUUAAUGUAAACAUUUUUGUUAGGUAAUUGGUUACGUGUUGCAGUAAAAGAAAUGAGACCUCACAGUUUGAAAGGAAAGAAUAUUAUUGUAUUUAGAAAGCAAUUAAUGUUUCUAGUCAAAUAAAAAAAAUCUACAUCACGUACAAUAUUUAUAUUCUUUCAGUAAACAUAUAACCUUUGGGGCUAUAUUUAUCAAAUAGUCAAGUCUCCACUUAUUUACAUUAGUUUUUUUCUUUGGGCAAAAUGUGUUUUCCCUAGUGGAGUAUGUUAUUUUGUUUCAUUAAACCUUUAUUUCUACUCACACGCAUUGCUUAUAUUACAGACCAAAUGAGUAAAUUCUCUGUACUUAAGUCAUCUAAGGUUUGUGUUUUGGGGUGACUGAUGGAUGGCAUGAAAAUUCUGUUUCAAAAAGAAAAUGGCUACAUUAACUUAUGGAUAGAUCUGUUUUGCAUAAUUAUGUGGGGAACUAUUCAGUAAUUACACUACUAUUCACAUACUGUAAUUUUCGUCAUCCUUAUUCACUGUCAUUCCAAUGAGAGGAAAUGGAAAACUUGUUCAGACGUACAUAUUCUUUCUCGCUCUGUCUUACGACCUGCAGUCACAGCAUAUAGUACUUUUUCGAGUAAUGCCUGUGUUCAAGUAAGACAGCUAUUUUCUUGAAUUUCCCUCCCACGGUGUGCCUGUAAAUUCUGCACCCGUACUUCAAAGUCUUUAAUGCCACGCUAUGGAUAUGCCUAAAUAGCCUUGUGCCAGCCCGUUUCUUUCACAUCACUUGAGGUCUGUACCGUCUGGGUGCCGUGUUGGAGGCAACAGUGUCAAGCCUGCUGGAAAUGCAGAUCUCUAGUAUGGAAGAGGUAAAGCCUCUGGAUCAGAGGUUUUUUUCUCCUCUCCAGCUGGACAGAGCGGUACCAUACGGCUGAGGAAAUCAUGGCCACGUCCUGAAUUUGGAAGGUGAAAUCUGAAGAAAAAGUGAAAAUAUUUUAGAAUUUGUAGUCCCCCAGGACUGUUCUCUUGCUCUCCAGACAAUUACGUUUCUGGUUUAAUAGGAAUUACCUAUGUGAAAUACCUUUUCACAUUUUCCUCAGGUGGUGCUUGGUCAAAAAUCUGGAGUAAAAAAGCUGAUGCUCUCUGGGUGCAAAAUGAAAAUGUCACGCAGCAUCAGACUGUUUUCCUUUUGGCUAAAAGUGCUUCAUACUUGCAUCCUUAGUUCCGCUCUGAAGUGCCACCAGGGAUUGACACUCCUCAUCCUCCUCGCAGGAGGGCAAGGGUGGAGAACAGAGAUCUGUCCUGUGAUGGAUGACAUACUUCCUUGCAGAAAUGUUUGGUGAGGAGUUUCUUCCUCGGUGUCUACAACAGAGGGACCAUUGUUCGCCACACUACCUUGCACUGUAAUGAAUGGAAGCGUUUUGUCAUUCUGGCUGUCAAUUUGAUGUAUUUUUAUAUUCAGAUGUAGCUGUGGACUUUCAUCUCUUGGACAUCCAGAGUGUACUGCUAAUGCAUAUAUACCUUUGCUCUUCAUAUUUUUCUAGAUCUGUCAUUCACAACAUGCAUCUUCUUUUGCACCAGCAAAGUACACAGUUGUGCUCUCCAAAUUAACUGAAGGUUGAUUUAAAAGAAUUUUGAUUAAAAUCUAACAUUUUCAUUAUGCUUUGGUACAUUUUGAUUUGGCAGCUUAAAAGCUCUAGCUCAGUACUUCUUUUAUACUCUUUGGUGACAUGUUUUUUCAUUGGAGAAAUUUAUGGAAAAUGUAGGGUACUGCUCCAUUUCAUGUUCUCUGAGGUAUGGGUCUACUGGAUACAAAAUGUGUUCUGAGAAUUAGCAGCCUUAAUUAGACAGCCUCAGAUUUGGAGUCUAGGGCUUCCUGGCUUCAUCUUAUAAAACCAAGCUAGGCAGCUUUAAGCUCAGGUGUCCCUUUCUGGUGCAGGAUCCUUCUGUAUAAUGUAGAUCAGGAUAAGGGCUGUUCCACCAGCAGCAGCAACGUCCCUUUCAGGGUUGAGUAUUUGAGUCUGUGUGGCAGUGUGGGUCGUCUUCAGGUUGUUCAGGUUUUUCUCAAACCAUCUCGCUCAAGUUUGCCAGGUACUGGUGCUAUCAUAUGGUGAAGGCAUCCUAUGAUUUAAAAAAAAACCAAAAACAAAAACAAACAAACAAACAAAAAAAACCCCACCCAAAACCCAAAAAACCCACAACAGCGUACCUGUGAAUUAUCUUAACUCUUAGACUCUGCUACUGGUGGAACAUCUUUAAGUUUUACCCAGGUAACUAAACUUUACCCAGAGACUAAUUUGCUUUUUCAAAAUUAUUUACAGAAUGAAUUUGUUAAGGAGUGAAAAAAUGUGCUUUCUACUGUGUUAGGAAUGAUGGCUAAAGGAAGUAAAAAUUACAUGCGCUUCUAGUAUGUUGUGUUCAUACUUUAAUCAACCAUUGGUUAUCUCUACUUUUUUUUGUUAGUCAGCCAUUGGUUAUCUCUACUUGUGUGUGUGUGUGUUUGUGUAAUGCUGCUAAAGUGUGUCAUGUAGUUACAUUAUUAAAAACAUGGGUUUUCAUUAGAUACAAGCAGGAUCCCUUUUCUAACUAAUUUAACCGAUUAUCCUGCAGUUUACAUUGAUCGAAAUCCAAAGCAGCCUGUCAAACCUACAGAUCUGACUGCUUCCACCGGUGCUAAAAGGAGCUGUGGUAGGGGAGGAGGAGGCUGCAGAUGGAAGGAGCCAGAGGGCUGAGCUUCCUGGAGUGACAGGGAUGCUGAGGGUACCCAAGUGCCUCUCCCUGCCCCUGGGCAUUUUAGUAACUGGCUGCAUGUGGGACUUCCUUCACCUCUUACUGUGUGCUUUUCAAGCCUUUGAGGAAAGUUCAGGCAUUGCCUAGUCUUGCAUCUCUGUGACAACUUCCAAAGUUCAGGCUUCUCCUCUGCUUCCUCUGGGAGCCAAACCCCACAGUUCAGCUGCUGCCUCUCGGGGUAGUGCCAGCCCCUGCAUGGGGUGCCAAGUAGCUCCACUGCCUUUUGGUUUCUUGUGUGCCUGAAUUCCCGUGUUGCCAUUUGCAGCAGUGGUGCUGCUGCUUUUAUUCUUCCUGGUUGCCUCCUAGCUGUAAAUACUGUCUGUUAUCCCGUUCCAGGUAAGCGAGUAGCUGUUACCCCAUGUGUCACCAGAGUAACCAUGAGAAUGCUCUGACUUUGGGCUGUACCUCUUUACGUGUGUGUGCUGGGCAAACCAAAGUGGUAUGAUUUUCAGUUUUCCAAAACACAUUUAUGCUCAAGAAAGAAAGUCCAAGAAAGUACAUUCUGCUUUCAGAAGCCUUUGACGUCCAUUAACAGUGCUGGAAGUCGUCAGCCUGCUGGAGUAGCUUCCUAUGAUAAGAAACAGCAAAGAAACAAAGCAGAAUUGCUCCUGCUCUCGUUAACCUCUGGUCCUGGUUAUCAUGAGGACACCUCCCCAGCUUUAGCAGGUGAGGCUGCCUAUCACUACCACCUGCCUUCCUGGCCAAGCUGGCCUUUCUCCUGGUAAACCUGUUAUUCUCAGCUGAAGAGCAGCUAGCUCCUUUUUCAAAGGGCAAUUCUAUUUCCAUAAAAGAUCACGUAAUCCUUUCUGGUUUGUCCUGUACUAUCCUUUAAUCUUGGGAGAACAACAGAAUGUUAGAAAACGGCUCAAUCUUUAUCAACUCCAUUUUUUUUUCCACAACUCAAUGGAAUAUGCAUUACUGCUUUUGAAUGUGAAAAUCAAACUAUAUAUACAUAUGAUUUAUUAUCCCAAACAGAAGGAUUGCAUCUUUCUAUAAGACAGAAAUGUGGUUAAAAAUAGGAUGUAAUUGAAGUAAAUUAAAGGACAAUAGUAGCCUUCAAACACAUAAAGAGAUGGUAUGGUUUUCAUAUUGUCAGUGUAAAUAGUCUCUGGAGACCACCUUUUUACAGUGAUUGUGCACGUCUAAGAUUAAGCAAAGCUGCAUGACCAGUGCUAUCUCAGGAGGAUGCUGAGUCAUUAACUCAUGUUUAUUGCCUCUUGCCAUCUUUAGAUUAUUGCAAUUUAUAGCUCAAAGGCCUUUUAGGCUGUUUAUAAGUUAAAAUUAGCCAAAUUCUUCUGGAUGCAAGUGAUAAGUCACUCGGCAUUUGUAUAUCAUGGGACACAAGUUCCUAGCGAUGAAGCCAGGUGGCUUCUAAGAUUUUUUUUUCUUUCUAUGCAAACUCUUAAUUGUGCUAUUUGUCCCUAGUUAUACUGGAUUACUCUAUCCUCUGUUUUGCUGAUUUUGCUAAUGUGCUAUUUUGUGAAGUGUGUAUACUCUUAAAGAAUUUACUGAAGUUCGAGAUGAUAUUAUUUACUAGGUAUACAGCUUCCACUUCAAUCAGACUACACUAAAAUGUUUGUAUCUUUUUCUGGAGUCUUCUGAGUCACAUUUGGUGAUGACCUAGGAACUUCAGUUGCGCAUGGUAAAUGAUAAGUUUAAAUUAAGCCAGCCAGGUUAAGUAUAAGACAUUAAGAUACAGGGUGUAGUAUUGAGCAUAUGAACAGAAGCUGACAUAAUUUACUACGGACCAAAGACAGGUGCACUAGGAGAACAAUAACUGGGGAAAAAAAAGCUCGAAGAAUCAAAUUUUACCUUAACCUGUGGAUUUUUUUCUUUUACUCGUCUUAUUGCUGCUGGUAGCAAAUUCAAUCCAGGCAUUACUGGACUAAAUGCUUAUCAACUUCUGUGGAAGUCACAUUUGCUUAUAUAAGCUAGUAUUGUGUGGUUCCCACUCAAUGGGAAGCGAAAUUAUUUUUCCAUGUAUGUGCGUUUUCUGAAGCGUUUAAAUCACCGUUGGCAUCACAGUUAAACUUGGCCUUUCCAUCAUGUUCAAAGAGAUUUUUUUUAAAACACCUGUGGAUAUAAAUUAUUUAAGAUUUCAAUACCUUGCAAUCACCUGAGAAUUCUUCUGAAGCACUCGUAAGAAUUAGUUUAAUGGUAUUAAGAGUAAAAUUCCUUAUUCUAUGUAUUUUACUGGUUUUAGAGUACAGUGUAUAGCUCAGCCUAUUGGUAAACACAGAGGCUUUAUCGGGGAGAGAAAUAUUAUAAAUAAAUCCUUUGAAUGUACUUAUUGUUGAAUUUAUUUUAAAUUGAGCUAAAGGGUCUACAUUCUUAAAUGCUAAUGCCACAUUCUGAUUUCAAAAUCAGUCAUCUAGACUUUUGUGUAUCUUUUCCCAUCCACACUUUUCACACAUACAUUUUACAUGUGGAAAAGUGGUAUGUUAAUUUACAGGCUAACCUAAUGACAGAGUUGGUGUUUAGAUCUGUGAACACUCAGAAGCAGUUUCACUUAAAAUGGAAACCCUGUUAUUUUUAUGUGUCUUGAUUUAAACUGAAGUGCAUAGACAAAAUUAUUUGAAACAGAGAUUUUGCAUGGAGAAUACGCAGAGUUUACUCAUAUAGGCGGAUACACAUAUGCAACUGUGAUUUUAUAUGCAAAGAUCAUAGAAGCUGCCACUUGAUCGUCGUAAAUCAGCAAUCCAAAAGACACCGGAAUUGACUGGGUUUGAGCAACAUGCAAGGCAAGGUACUGUCAUUAUCUCCAGAAGUUUUUCUUCAUAACUGCAAACCAGUGUGUUUGCCUAUUACAUUGUUCAGCAGCUUUCUGCGGGGCUAAAACAGCCUUUGAUUUUGCACCUUGGUGUCAGCAUUCCUGACCUGCUUUCAAAUGUGAGCAGCUUUCACUGUCAGAAGACGAGUGUAUGUGUGGGUACCGUAUUGUGUUUUCCAGUUUUGUUCCUUCCUUAACACAAAUACGCUUAAAGGGGAAAAAACACUGUUAAUGCCUGAUAGAUUUUUCUGGUGUCGAUAUUGGAGGAUAAACAAAUGGAAUAUUUCAGCCUGUGUAAGAGUUUUGCACUUUGAAUGGCGAAGUCUCACAGUUAAUUAUCUGCAUAAAUCACUCAUUAUCAUAGUGUGUAUUUUUUAUGUCAUUCAUGGCAAAAGACUGUUUUAGGGCACAGUUGUUGAAACCAAAAUGCAACCCAAAAAUCUGUACCAAGCAACGCAAGCAUUCAAAGCAUGCAUCUAAUGCUAAAUGAACUUUGAAGCAAGGGAUAGAGUCAGAUUUACACUUAAAAGAUUGCUUACCAAAAAGUUGCGUCGUAUUUAUUUCAGAAAACUGAAACAACUUCCUCGGAGUGAAAUGUUCUUCAACUUUCCAGCCUAAUAAUUAUUUAAUAAAUAUCAGAAGUGCUGCGCACUUAAUUCUUUAGCUGAAGGCAUUAUUUUCAGGUUCCGUACACCGCUUCCAGCUUGCUCCAUUUAAUCAUUUUAAAAGCUUAUUUGGUGUAAAUUGAAUUUAACACUGUGGUUGCAAGGGUGUUACGCAAAAAGUCCGAAAGAUUGUGUGUGGCAAAGGGGCUGCGGGUGCCAGCGAUGGAGCUGCGGAAGGGGAGCAGCGCCUGCAUCAUCCGAAACUCUGCAGCGCCCUCUCUUGACACGACGCAGCAAUGCCGUGAGCUUCCCUCCCGCACUCCUCGGGAAGCCAGCAAAAUACAGCGACAUCCAUCUCUCUGCUCCGUUUUACUUUUUAAACAUCUAGUUUAUGUAGUAAAACCUCAAUUUGCCGUAUGUUUUGGGAUUAGUUCUCCUUAUAUUUUUAUUUUUUUUUUCUCCUUCUACUGCCAUUUUGGUCUAUCAGCAGACCCAAGUCAGAAUGCUUCAGUCGUCUUAGUCGUUCUGCAUUUUAUUUUAUUUUUUUCUUUGCUGCAGACAUCCUGAAGACUUUCCAAACUGCAUAUUUGAUACUGUAGAAUUACAAAUUGUCUGCUGUUUUGUAAACCUUUCAAUUGUCAAACUGUUCUCUUUCCAAAUAAUAGAGGAGCCUGGAAUCGCCCAUGCUAAAAUUAAGAAUUUAUAACUGUAUGGAACAGAUGUUUUCAUAAACAUUUGCUAUAAUUAAUUUCAACUAGGGGAUUGAAGGAACAAAGCAGUUUUUCCCUCUUCAAAACUUUAUUGCCUUUUCCCCAUACAGCGAACUCAGAAAUCUUUGCUUUAAUAUUGUUAAUGAAACAAAUUUACUAUUCUGUUUGGUUUUCGUUGCGAAAAAAGAAAGCUUAAUUUGAACAAGAUACCAACCUUUGGAACAAUGGACAAAUACGCUGAAUUUCAGACACCAUCUAUAAAGGAUUAAAAUACAGAGCAUGAGUCUUUAGGUGCUUUUUCUGAGACCAUGACUCUGUGGUGUCACUGACUUGACAGAGAUUCCUGUGUAUCAGAAAAAAUUUCAUCCAGAUCAGUUUGAUGAAUAUCUAUCUGUGAAGUAAAUAGUACAAAGGAAUUUUAUGUUUGAAGAGUUGUGAACCUCGGUGUUACAAAAAGCAAAGGAGUCUUGUGGAAUUAUAUAUAGUUUUAAUGCAUAGUAAAAUGCUUAUUGUAUGUUGAUUACCCCUUUAUACUCACAAUAAAGGUCUGCAAUCUGUUAAGCAAUUUUUUUUUUGUAUGCAUUAUAUGAGGAGCACAUUUUGACUAAAAUCAUUCUUCCAUAUUUGUAUUGUCACUAUUUUUGGAGGGAUAUUGUUUGGAAUGUGUGUAGUUUAGAACCAGAAUUUUGGUGUUAUCGUGAAGAAGAAAAAAUAGCCAUGCAUUAUUGUCCUGUUUUUACUAGUUCCUCUAUAUUGUAUAAAUAUAAUUUGAGAAAAGAAAUGUUUGAAGUUUUAAAAAAAGAACAGCUUAAUUGUUUUACACCUGAAAGAACCAGUGCAGCUGCAAGGAUUUUUUUGAGCAAACUAGAAUUCCUGACUGAUCUGUCAUCUAUAAAGUGUGCAAAGAAAAAUAGGUAGCUGUCAUUAAAAUUACAUUUCAGCUUUCAAUAACCAUUUAAUGAGUAGCAUAAUUAUAUAAGUAUGGUACCUCAAGUACUUCACUCAAUAAUUAAAAAUAAUCUCAUCUUUAAAGUGAAAGCGCUGUAAUUAUUAUUUGACUUAACCAGGACCACUGUUAUGAUCUCCAGUGGCACCUCAGAUUGUUCAAAGUGGUUUUGAAAGUAUAAAUUAAAAUUGGAUAAAUCAUUAAAUUAUUAAGCUUUAAAUAUGUUGAAAAUGAACAUAAGCACGGAAUUGGAAGUCAUGUUAUAAGAAUUGACAACCUUAGACUGCAAGCAUAUAUUUGUGUUAAAAUUAUCCUUGUCUCUAAUCGUAAAACACUGCAUUAAUGAUCGAGUGCUUUAUAUCCACCUGAACUUAAAAUUUUCACAGCUGUUAAAUAAAUUUUGUUUUUUUAACAACAUUUUAACCUUUGAGUAGAAUACAAAGAAUAUAUUAAGCAGACUGCAAACUCGUCAGCGGAGAGAUCUAUCUCCAUUUUGACACUUGUUAGCAGGGGGAUGCGCAGUUUGAUUUCCUAAGUGGGAUCACUUUUACCACGAAUUCCUAAACUGCCAGCCAUAAAACCUUGCAGAGCUGACAAGGAUGGGUAUGUCGGUUAGCACUAUGUAGUAAUACACGUGUGCCCACACACAGACAUGCAUAUGCGUGUAUACGUACAGACAGAAAUACAUAUAUAUGUAAAGGCAUUUCUUCAGUGUCAAAAUCAUUCUCAAAAGAAAAAAAAAAAAAAAGAAGUUAUUUUUAAAAGUAGGAGUAUAUCCAUAGAGUAAGGGAAUGUCACUCAAGCUUCCUGUCUUCAUAGACUUGCAGCUGGUGAUGACAGUAUCCCACCCCUUCUCUGUAAGAAGUCCUGUGCUGAAUUUUUGCAUCUUGCAGAAAACAGCUGUUCUCAAGAGAAGUGAUGAAGGACAUCAGUGAGAAGUAUCUGAUCCCUACAUCCUUCUUCACGUGCUUUUUCAUUCUUGUUGAGCGCAUGCUUAAGCUCAGAAUGCUCCUUGUGCUUGGUGCAUACCCAGAGCAUCUUCCCACCGUUGAACUGGGGCUCGGAAAUCUGGUUUAUUCUUAUUGCUUGAUGUGGAAACUGUGUACUGCACCUUGAAAAAACUCUUCUUUAAGGAAAUAUUAUACUAUCAGUAUAUUAGGCUCUUCAAAAAUUAAAAUACAAAAAUACUGUGCAUACUUAAA